AUGAUAUCUGCUCUCAUCAUCAUCACUGUUGCUCUGCUCCAUGUUGCAGGUGGUCGGAGGACUGGAGUCCACCAGAUCCCAGGUUUACUGGUAGAGAGGGGUCGAUCAGCUCAGAUAAGUUGCAAACAAGAUCUUGGUGGUGGAUACUUUGAGAUGAGCUGGUAUCGUAAGUUGCCCGGGGAGAGUUUGAAACACAUCGUCUCCACCGUGCCUUACAGAACCGAGCAGGAAUUUGCAGAUUUUAGCCAAGACAAAUUCUCAGUGGAGAAGAAUGACGCUACAAGCGGAUAUUUCACUGUGAACAACGCUGAACCAGGUGACAAUGGCGUGUACUACUGUUCCGUCAGCAAAGCCACACUCACUGUGACGCAGAUACCCAUCAAGCUGCACUAA
Molecule: non-coding RNA, 393 nt
Organism: Solea senegalensis (Senegalese sole)
Lineage: Eukaryota; Metazoa; Chordata; Actinopteri; Pleuronectiformes; Soleidae
Source: the annotation of a RefSeq genome assembly